CUACGGGUUGCUGCAGCGGGGAAUAUUGCACAAUGGAGGAAACUCUGAUGCAGCAACGCCGCGUGGAGGAUGACACUUUUCGGAGCGUAAACUCCUUUUAUAUAGGAAGAAGAUGACGGUACUAUAUGAAUAAGCGCCGGCUAACUCCGUGCCAGCAGCCGCGGUAAUACGGAGGGCGCAAGCGUUACUCGGAAUCACUGGGCGUAAAGAGCGUGUAGGCGGAUUAAAAAGUCAGAAGUGAAAUCCUAUAGCUUAACUAUAGAACUGCUUCUGAAACUCUUAAUCUAGAAUAUGGGAGAGGUAGAUGGAAUUUCUGGUGUAGGGGUAAAAUCCGUAGAGAUCAGAAGGAAUACCGAUUGCGAAGGCGAUCUACUAGAACAUUAUUGACGCUGAGACGCGAAAGCGUGGGGAGCAAACAGGAUUAGAUACCCCCAUAGUC
RNAcentral lists this ribosomal RNA (439 nucleotides) under uncultured bacterium. Its description in RNAcentral is "partial 16S ribosomal RNA". It matches the Rfam family "Bacterial small subunit ribosomal RNA", at positions 339 to 795 of the family's 1533-position model. The record is from RNAcentral.